GGGGAUUUAGCCCAGUGGUAGAGCGCUUGCCUAGCGAGCACAAGGCCCUGGGUUCGAUCCCCAGCUCCG
Molecule: transfer RNA, 69 nt
Filed under: Rattus norvegicus (Norway rat)
Lineage: Eukaryota; Metazoa; Chordata; Mammalia; Rodentia; Muridae
Rfam family: tRNA
About the family: Transfer RNA (tRNA) molecules are approximately 80 nucleotides in length. Their secondary structure includes four short double-helical elements and three loops (D, anti-codon, and T loops).
Source: Rfam by way of RNAcentral